Molecule: ribosomal RNA, 253 nt
Filed under: uncultured bacterium
Lineage: Bacteria
Description: partial 16S ribosomal RNA
Rfam family: Bacterial small subunit ribosomal RNA
Source: RNAcentral
GACGUAGGUGGCGAACGUUAUCCGGAAUUAUUGGGCGUAAAGGGCGCGUAGGUGGUUCUGUAUGUCUACCGUGAAAGCAUACAGCUCAACUGUAUUUUGUCGGUAGAAACUGCAGGACUUGAGGCUGGGAGGGGCUGGUGGAAUUCCCUGUGUAGCGGUGAAAUGCGUAGAGAUGGGGGAGAACACUCGUGGCGAAGGCGGCCAGCUAGACCAGUUCUGACACUGAGGCGCGACAGCGUGGGGAGCAAACAGG